AUUGAACGCUGGCGGCAGGCCUAACACAUGCAAGUCGAACGGUAACAGGAAGAAGCUUGCUUCUUUGCUGACGAGUGGCGGACGGGUGAGUAAUGUCUGGGAAACUGCCUGAUGGAGGGGGAUAACUACUGGAAACGGUAGCUAAUACCGCAUAACGUCGCAAGACCAAAAAGGGGGACCUUCGGGCCUCUUGCCAUCGGAUGUGCCCAGAUGGGAUUAGCUAGUAGGUGGGGUAACGGCUCACCUAGGCGACGAUCCCUAGCUGGUCUGAGAGGAUGACCAGCCACACUGGAACUGAGACACGGUCCAGACUCCUACGGGAGGAAGCAGUGGGGAAUAUUGCACAAUGGGCGCAAGCCUGAUGCAGCCAUGCCGCGUGUAUGAAGAAGGCCUUCGGGUUGUAAAGUACUUUCAGCGGGGAGGAAGGGAGUAAAGUUAAUACCUUUGCUCAUUGACGUUACCCGCAGAAGAAGCACCGGCUAACUCCGUG
RNAcentral lists this ribosomal RNA (490 nucleotides) under uncultured bacterium. Its description in RNAcentral is "partial 16S ribosomal RNA". It matches the Rfam family "Bacterial small subunit ribosomal RNA", at positions 30 to 507 of the family's 1533-position model. The record is from RNAcentral.